GGAUUUGGCUCAGCGGUAGAGUGUUUGCCUAGCACGUACGAGGCCCUGGGUUCAAUCCUCAGCACCA
Molecule: transfer RNA, 67 nt
Filed under: Marmota monax (woodchuck)
Lineage: Eukaryota; Metazoa; Chordata; Mammalia; Rodentia; Sciuridae
Description: tRNA.Ala
Source: RNAcentral